GCCUGGACAGCUCACUGGUGGAGCAUCAGACUUUUAAUCUGAGGGUCCAGGGUUCAAGCACCUGUUCAGGCG
RNAcentral lists this transfer RNA (72 nucleotides) under Sorex araneus (European shrew). RNAcentral's name for it is "tRNA-Lys (TTT) (tRNA-Lys-TTT-3-1)". It matches the Rfam family "tRNA". Rfam says of the family: Transfer RNA (tRNA) molecules are approximately 80 nucleotides in length. Their secondary structure includes four short double-helical elements and three loops (D, anti-codon, and T loops). The record is from RNAcentral. Lineage: Eukaryota; Metazoa; Chordata; Mammalia; Eulipotyphla; Soricidae.